RNAcentral lists this ribosomal RNA (197 nucleotides) under uncultured bacterium. RNAcentral's name for it is "partial 16S ribosomal RNA". It matches the Rfam family "Bacterial small subunit ribosomal RNA", at positions 329 to 539 of the family's 1533-position model. The record is from RNAcentral.
ACGCUCGACCCUACGGGAUGCAGCAGUGGGGAAUAUUGCACAAUGGGGGAAACCCUGAUGCAGCGACGCCGCGUGAAGGAAGAAGUAUCUCGGUAUGUAAACUUCUAUCAGCAGGGAAGAAAGUGACGGUACCUGACUAAGAAGCCCCGGCUAACUACGUGCCAGCAGCCGCGGUAAUCUGAGCGGGCUGGCAAGGC